GUAUAGGUUAGUUUGAUGUAUAGCACACAUAAGUUUCUUAGUAAGCUAUAGCACGUUACCGCAUAUUAGCUUGAUAUUGAUUGGUCACCUUACUGAAAUAUAUCUGUACA
Molecule: non-coding RNA, 110 nt
Organism: Bombyx mori (domestic silkworm)
Lineage: Eukaryota; Metazoa; Arthropoda; Insecta; Lepidoptera; Bombycidae
Source: RefSeq, marked provisional